GAUGAACGCUAGCGAUAGGCUUAACACAUGCAAGUCGAGGGGCAGCACAAGGUAGCUUGCUAUCUGGGUGGCGACCGGCGCACGGGUGCGUAACGCGUAUGCAACUUGCCCUAUACAGGAGGAUAACCCGUCGAAAGACGGACUAAUACUGCGUAUGCUCACAACUUGGCAUCAAGUGGUGAGGAAAGAAAUUCGGUAUAGGAUAGGCAUGCGUCCCAUUAGCUUGUUGGUGAGGUAACGGCUCACCAAGGCAACGAUGGGUAGGGGAACUGAGAGGUUUAUCCCCCACACUGGUACUGAGACACGGACCAGACUCCUACGGGAGGCAGCAGUGAGGAGUAUUGGUCAAUGAGCGCGAGCCUGAACCAGCCAAGUCGCGUGAAGGAUGACUGUCUUAUGGAUUGUAAACUUCUUUUAUACGGGAAUAACAAGAGUCACGUGUGACUCCCUGCAUGUACCGUAUGAAUAAGCAUCGGCUAACUCCGUG
RNAcentral lists this ribosomal RNA (487 nucleotides) under uncultured bacterium. RNAcentral's name for it is "partial 16S ribosomal RNA". It matches the Rfam family "Bacterial small subunit ribosomal RNA", at positions 28 to 507 of the family's 1533-position model. The record is from RNAcentral.